This 497-nucleotide ribosomal RNA is filed under the name uncultured bacterium. RNAcentral describes it as "partial 16S ribosomal RNA". It matches the Rfam family "Bacterial small subunit ribosomal RNA", at positions 28 to 507 of the family's 1533-position model. The record is from RNAcentral.
GAUGAACGCUGGCGGUGUGCCUAAUACAUGCAAGUCGAGCGAACAGACGAGGAGCUUACUCCUCUGACGUUAGCGGCGGACGGGUGAGUAACACGUGGAUAACCUACCUAUAAGACUGGGAUAACUUCGGGAAACCGGAGCUAAUACCGGAUAACAUGAUGAACCGCAUGGUUCAACAGUGAAAGACGGUCUUGCUGUCACUUAUAGAUGGAUCCGCGUCGCAUUAGCUAGUUGGUAAGGUAACGGCUUACCAGGGCAACGAUGCGUAGCCGACCUGAGAGGGUGAUCGGCCACACUGGAACUGAGACACGGUCCAGACUCCUACGGGAGGCAGCAGUAGGGAAUCUUCCGCAAUGGGCGAAAGCCUGACGGAGCAACGCCGCGUGAGUGAAGAAGGUCUUCGGAUCGUAAAACUCUGUUAUUAGGGAAGAACAAAUGUGUAAGUAACUAUGCACGUCUUGACGGUACCUAAUCAGAAAGCCACGGCUAACUACGUG